AUAGCAUAUAUUAAAGUUGUUGCAGUUAAAAAGCUCGUAGUUGGACCUCUGGAGGACUGCCAAUGUCCGCUUCGGCGUGCGCAGCGGCGGUCUUCCAUCCUUCUGUUAACUCUUCUUGGCCUUAACUGGCUGGUUGAGGGCUCAGAUAUUUUACCUUGAGAAAAUUAGAGUGUUUCAGGCAGGCUUGCGCCCGAAUACAUUAGCAUGGAAUAAUAGAAUAAGACUUCGGUCUCCUUUGUUGGUUUGAGGGAUUGGAGUAAUGAUUAAUAGGGACAGUUGGGGGCAUUAGUAUUUAAUUGUCAGAGGUGAAAUUCUUGGAUUUAUUGAAGACUAACUACUG
RNAcentral lists this ribosomal RNA (340 nucleotides) under Anteholosticha rectangula. Its description in RNAcentral is "SSU rRNA". It matches the Rfam family "Eukaryotic small subunit ribosomal RNA", at positions 594 to 945 of the family's 1831-position model. The record is from RNAcentral. Lineage: Eukaryota; Ciliophora; Spirotrichea; Urostylida; Holostichidae.